Molecule: ribosomal RNA, 462 nt
Filed under: uncultured bacterium
Lineage: Bacteria
Description: bacterial SSU rRNA
Rfam family: Bacterial small subunit ribosomal RNA
Source: RNAcentral
UUACGGGAGGCAGCAGUGGGGAAUCUUGCGCAAUGGGCGAAAGCCUGACGCAGCGACGCCGCGUGAGGGAAGAAGGCCUUCGGGUUGUAAACCUCUUUCAGGAGGGACGAAGCCACUCGGGUGAAUAGCCCAGAGGGUGACGGUACCUCCAGAAGAAGCCCCGGCUAACUACGUGCCAGCAGCCGCGGUAAUACGUAGGGGGCAAGCGUUGUCCGGAUUUACUGGGCGUAAAGCGCGUGUAGGCGGCCGCACAGGUCCGUUGUGAAAACUGGAGGCUUAACCUUCAGACGUCGACGGAAACCGUGUGGCUAGAGUCCGGAAGAGGAGAGUGGAAUUCCUGGUGUAGCGGUGAAAUGCGCAGAUAUCAGGAAGAACACCAAUGGCGAAGGCAGCUCUCUGGGACGGUACUGACGCUGAGACGCGAAAGCGUGGGGAGCGAACAGGAUUAGAUACCCUGGUAGA